This 75-nucleotide transfer RNA is filed under the name Alteromonas sp. KUL106. RNAcentral's name for it is "tRNA-Gly". It matches the Rfam family "tRNA". From Rfam's summary of the family: Transfer RNA (tRNA) molecules are approximately 80 nucleotides in length. Their secondary structure includes four short double-helical elements and three loops (D, anti-codon, and T loops). Lineage: Bacteria; Pseudomonadati; Pseudomonadota; Gammaproteobacteria; Alteromonadales; Alteromonadaceae. The record is from RNAcentral.
GCGGGAAUAGCUCAGUUGGUAGAGCACGACCUUGCCAAGGUCGGGGUCGCGAGUUCGAAUCUCGUUUCCCGCUCC